AUGCUCGCGGCCAGGCCCUGCUGAUCCUCUGGCGCUGACCACAGGGGAGGAGGCAGCUCUCGUCGGUGCGCAGGCGUUUCCAGAGGCAGCAGGGGGGAAGCGUUGUUGUCAAACAGAUUCAGGGAAUUUCAAAGUCCAGCUCAACUAACCCCUGGCACCAUCCAGCUACUUCCACUUAAACGUUUAACAUGCAAAUGUAGAGAGCCCAAAAUUCCGUGAGUGAGUGACAGGGCACAGGUAUUCCUGAUUUAUUAAAACUGAUGGAAGCGCCCCCCCCCCCCCCCACUGGGCAGGUUAGCAAGAGGACUUCUCCAAGGAGCACCUAGUAGGAUGUGGGGGGGACCAUCCGAAAGGGCUGUUCAGAUACUCUUAACCAGAAAGUUCUGUUUCCCCGUUUCUCCAGGUUGGACAUCCUCCCCAUGAAGAGAGAACCGCAGCAAGGGAGAGGAAGAGGAUGGUUCUCUGGGUUCCCAUGAAGUAGGAGCAUUUCCACUUUUUCUCCAGGUUCUCUGCAGAAGGCAGUGAGACACUCCAGAGAAUGUUUGUGGAAAGGGCGAAUGAGCACGGAAGCAGCUGGAGGGAGAGGACAGAGGGAAACCAAAAAGCCACUAGAGCAGGAAUUGUCCUAAACAACUUGAAGAAAAUACGCCGAGGGAAUUAUUUUCAAAACACAGCACCCAACCUUAGAUGUGCGAGGCCUCUAGUGGAAACGUCUGGUGGUUUCUGUCUCGCGGUGAGAGCUUCUCCACGACUGAACCCAGAGGAACAUGGCGGCUGUUUUCCUUUCUUGAGGUAGACGAGGCAAGAGGUGAUGGAGGAGACUCCCUUCACGGUGAGGUUUUAGGCCAC
RNAcentral lists this long non-coding RNA (849 nucleotides) under Canis lupus familiaris (dog). Its description in RNAcentral is "lncRNA (ENSCAFG00000051509.1)". Lineage: Eukaryota; Metazoa; Chordata; Mammalia; Carnivora; Canidae. The record is from RNAcentral.